AACGAACGCUGGCGGCGUGCCUAACACAUGCAAGUCGUGCGAGAAAGUUCCUUCGGGAGCGAGUAAAGCGGCGCACGGGUGAGUAACACGUAGGUAACCUGCCCCCCAGUCUGGAACAACUAGAGGAAACUCUAGCUAAUGCCGGAUGAGACCACGAUCCCUUCGGGGGUUGCGGCCAAAGAUGGCCUCUACUUGUAAGCUAUCGCUGAGGGAUGGGCCUGCGGCCAUUAGCUUGUUGGUGAGGUAACGGCUCACCAAGGCUGUGAUGGCUAGCUGGUCUGAGAGGAUGACCAGCCACACUGGGACUGAGACACGGCCCAGACUCCUACGGAGGCAGCAGUGGGGAAUAUUGCGCAAAUGGGCGAAAGCCUGACGCAGCGACGCCGCGUGGGUGAUGAAGGCCU
RNAcentral lists this ribosomal RNA (404 nucleotides) under uncultured bacterium. Its description in RNAcentral is "bacterial SSU rRNA". It matches the Rfam family "Bacterial small subunit ribosomal RNA", at positions 29 to 417 of the family's 1533-position model. The record is from RNAcentral.